CCCCUUCCCCUUUCUCUCACAAACGCCACUCCCUAAACCCUAGCAGAGCAAUCACCACCAGAAGCCCUAGCCGCCACCUUCAUCACUGAUCUCCUCUUCUCUCCGUCGCGCUCGGAGCUCUUCUUGUCGUCGCGUCUCCCAGCUGACUGCGGUGGCUCUCUCUGCUCGAGGUUCUGAGCUCAACGUCCUUCUUCGAGCUCUCUCUCUGUCUCUCUCACUGCGACGUCUUUUUUUGCUCGAUUGUUGAGUAUUCGCCGACGGUCCUUGUUUUGGGCCGUGGACUCCUACUCUUAUUAAAAUUCUCUCUCUCUAGCCGAAUGUUCUCUCUUGGAUUUUCUCUUCCUUGGAGCUCGAAUUAAGAUUCUGAACUGUUAUUUGUUACUGGAGGUGUUGGCUGCUGUGCGGUGUUUGCAACGUUGCUAUCCUACUGUAUUUGACUGAGUUCGGUAGAUUAAUAUGACUCUAGCCCACUAGAGUCUCUCUUAAUCUCACUCGAGUCACGUCUCAUCGCACUUGUCGGCGUCUUGUCAUUUGUCUUGUCUCGUUGCUGACGUCUCAACGUCUCGUGGUCUUCUUUGAGCUCCUCGUCACCGGCAACAGAAGCAACUUGGGUCGUUGCUUGUUUCAUUGCCUUACCUGGGUCGUCGUCUUCUGGUUUUGGUUCCUCGCUGUGGCCGAGUCGCCGUGGACCGUUGUUUUUGUUCGUUUUUAGAGGCGUGGCUGCUGUGAUGGUUGCAACGUUGCUGUUCAGUAGAUUAAUAUUGCUUUAGGAUGGCCACCAAGAAAGGUAAAGAGAAAGCUACUCCCAAACCACCGACAAGGAGAAGAACAAAACGUGCCUUGGUGGCAGAGCCAUCUUCAACAACGGUUAAGCCCUCAAUAAAAUGAAUCAAGAGGAUCAUCAAAGUCGAUGAAAAAAAAAGCCUUUCCAGCAAAGGACGCUGCGUGGUUCACUAACCGCUACUGUGAGCAGAUGUUCCCCAUUCUAGCGGAAAGGAACUAUAGCAAUGAGCACCUUCUCAUCCUCCCAAUCCAAAUUGCUAAAUUUGUUGAGCCCCGCAUUGAGCGAAGACAAUGGGGAUCCCUACAGAGAUAGCCACGACAUGUUAAUCUAUCAUGGGUAGUUUAAUUCUACUCCAACUUUCACUUGCUAACCCUGCAGUCUGUCUAUGUCCGUCAGAAGCAAGUCCCCAUUACAGAAGAGGCCAUUCAACAAGCUUUAGAUCUUCUCCCUGCUCCAGAAGAAUUGGAUGUAUUUCAAAUAGCCGCACUCAAGCACCAGAUGUACCAAUUUGACUGGGAUGCCGUUCUCAGAGUUAUCGCACAACCUAGCAGCAGAUGGAUUUAUGGAUACCAUCACUCCCGCUCUAAGGGAAUAUCGGCUUUCGCACUUACCUUAGAAGCUUGAGUAUGGGCACAGAUUAUGUCCCAUUACAUCUUUUCGAGCACUCAUGAGUCCUCCUUCACUGCAGACAUGGCUAUUCUACUCUGGUGUAUCAUUACAGACCAGCCUCUAAACCUACCAAGAUACAUCCGGAAUGCCAUGAGACACGUACAAAUUGCGAGUAACUUACCUUUUCCUGCCUUGGUCUUCGACCUCGUCUCAACAGCCGGCAUCUCCUACAGGACUGGGAACACCAGAGCCAUGCUUCCACGGAGUGAUCAAUACCUUUCUAAUGGGAAAUAUAUCAGACCUCCAGCAGCCACUACCAGCCAACCUACAGAACAGGCUGAAGACAUUUCUCCUUCCACACCACAAGCACCUUCAACAAGUCAGCUGCUCCAUCAGAUCCUGGAGAGGUUGGACUGGCAAAAAUAGAAAGUAAAGCUAUGAGAGCGCCGCAAUCAGCACCGAUUCAAAUACCUCAAGGAGCUACUCACAGGAAACCACAGACCUGACAAAGACCCCGACACUCCGGACUCCACUUCAUUUACCAGCAUAGAGAUCCAUGACGGUCCCAACUGUGGAGCUACUGCUACCAGCUCCCCUUUAUUCCUGACAGAUGGCACCGAGGACGGUGCAAAGGCUUAAGUGUGGGGAGGUCGGUCAGUACCUGACUUCCGGAGGUAACCUUUCUUCCUUAACAUCAAUAAAGUAGGAUAUUUAGUUAUUUUUUUUCCUUUGAUUAGGAUAGGAUAUAUUGUUUAAUAAUA
Arachis duranensis is the source of this 2154-nucleotide long non-coding RNA. RefSeq lists it as uncharacterized. The record is from RefSeq and is a predicted model, not a curated record. Lineage: Eukaryota; Viridiplantae; Streptophyta; Magnoliopsida; Fabales; Fabaceae. The transcript has 6 exons.